GAUGAAGAACGUAGCGAAAUGCGAUAAGUAAUGUGAAUUGCAGAAUUCAGUGAAUCAUCGAAUCUUUGAACGCACCUUGCGCCCUUUGGCCAUUCCGAAGGGCAUGCCUGUUUGAGUAUCAUGAACACCUCAACUCUUUAUGGUUUUCCAUGAUGAGCUUGGACUCUGGGGGUUUUGCUGGCUCACAGUCGGCUCCUCUAAAAUGAAUCAGCUUACCAGUGUUUGGUGGGUAUCAUGGGUGUGAUAACUAUCUACGCUUGUGGUUUUUCCACCAGGUAACCUUCAGCAGUGGAGGUUCGCUGGGCUCAUAGAUGUCUCUCCUCAGUGAGGACAGCCCUUUGAAUGUUUGAUCUCAAAUCAGGUAGGACUACCCGCUGAACUUAAGCAUAUCAAUAAGCGGAGGA
Molecule: unclassified non-coding RNA, 404 nt
Filed under: soil metagenome
Description: partial contains 5.8S ribosomal RNA, internal transcribed spacer 2, and large subunit ribosomal RNA
Rfam family: 5.8S ribosomal RNA (bases 1-121)
Source: RNAcentral